Long non-coding RNA from Neltuma alba, 1218 nucleotides. RefSeq lists it as uncharacterized. The record is from RefSeq and is a predicted model, not a curated record. The transcript is spliced from 3 exons. NCBI's taxonomy places the organism in Eukaryota, Viridiplantae, Streptophyta, Magnoliopsida, Fabales, Fabaceae.
UUGACCACUAAAAUUAUUAUUAUUAAGUGCCAAAGAUUGUAAUUCACCAAGCCUUCCAAACACAUUUGGUAUUUCACCACUAAAAUUAUUCACUGAAAGAUCUAAGUUGUAGAGAUGUUCAAAGUUUGAAAGUGAGAUGAUGGGAUUUGACUACUAAAACUAUUAUUGGAAAGAUUCAAGGAAGGGAGAUUUACAAGCAUUGAAAGAAAUGAGACCCCACCACUAAAUUAGUUGGAGGAAAGGUCUAACCAGGUGAGAUUUACAAGUGUUGAAAGAAAUGAGACCCCCCCAACUAAAUUUGUUGGAGGAAAGGUCUAACUCGGUGAGUUGAGUGAGAUUCUUGAAACUCAAAGGAAUAGGCCCUUCAAAUUGACAAUUGCUAAAAUAUAAUGUUUUAAGAGACUUAAAAUGGCCUAUGGAAUCUGGUACUUCUCUAAAGAAAGGUAUGUCAUGUAGAUACAACUCCACCAAAGGAGAGCUCUAGUUGAGCUUUAGAAGUUGAACCUGAAUAUUUGUAUUCCCUCCCAAACUUAGAAUUUUAAGAUUUUCUAAAUACAAAAUGGUAUUUGUUAUAUUACCUUGUAAAGAAGUUUCCACAAGUGAAAGGUAGAUCAAAGAGGACAACAAAUUCCUGAGUAAAGACAAGGAGUUUGGUGUAAUAGAGGACAUGUUCACAUAACCUAAACCAAGCGUUCUUAAAUUAGUUGUAUUUAGAAUCAGCUUUUCCCAAGUAGAUGGCUCAAGUCUUAGCGCUGAACUCCCCUUCAUGUCAAAAUUUAAAGACAAGUCAAGUGAGACCAAUUUAGACAAUUGAGAGAUUUCGGACUGGAUUUCACCAAAAAUAAUUAUUUAGAUAAAGGGCUAAGGAUGUGAGAUGUUCUAGGUUUGAAAGGAAUGAGAUCUCACCACUAAACUUGUUUGAAGCAAGGUUCAAAUAAGUCAGUUGAGUGAGAUUGCUCAGACCCAGAGGAAUCCGCCCUUCAAAAUUAUAGAAGUAUAGAUUCAAAUGAUUAAGAUAUUUCAAGUGGCCAAUAGAAUUAGGCACUUCUCCUAAGAAAGAUGUGUCACUAAGAUCCAAAAGUGAUAUAGGAGAGCUCCAAUUAGACUUUGGAAGUUGACUGUUGAGAUUAACAUUACCUGACAAAUCUAGUUGUUGAAGGCUUUCUAAGCAGAGAAUGUCACUUGUAAUAUUUCCCUGCAACUUAGACUUUCUAAAAC